CCCCCUCCUUAUGGAAACUCUUCUUUUUUGCAUGCAUCAAUGGCAGAAAAGGAGUCAGAAUACUGGAAAAAAUUUUCACUUCUCUCUCCAGUCACCCACCUCCUCAAGAAUUUCUCUAAGAAUGUGACUAAACCAAAGCACUUGUUGGAAAGUUACAAAGGAGAAGCGUCAAGCUGGUGAAGCCAGCGGGAGCUCUACAUGCAGCAGGUGGAAAAAUUACAGAGAGAGUGUGAGCAGCCAUUCCUGUGCAUUGAUCCGGCAAGUGCUGAGCCGUUCUCUCUAAGUGUACUUCAUCCAGCUGCCUGUAUGUACAAGAAGAUUACACAGCUCCCUGCUGACCAGAAGGGUGGAUGUAUAAAACUAUAAACAGGGAAUUUUUACUAGCAGGAAAAGGCUAGCAAAAAUCACUAUGAACAGCUCACCACAGUUCCAUGCCUCCAGCACAUAGGUAUAAUUCGGGAAUCCAUACAGCGCAUCAGGAUCGCUGCCUCAGCAGUUCCAGGAACCUCUUUCAAUGCAGGAACCACUGAUUUCUGUAUCAGUACCACAAGCCAUUAAAAGCUUGGACUUACUGGA
This is a long non-coding RNA of Strigops habroptila (Kakapo), 576 nucleotides long. RefSeq lists it as uncharacterized. NCBI's taxonomy places the organism in Eukaryota, Metazoa, Chordata, Aves, Psittaciformes, Psittacidae. The record is from RefSeq and is a predicted model, not a curated record. The transcript is spliced from 2 exons.